CCUACGGGAGGCAGCAGUAAGGAAUAUUGGUCAAUGGACGGAAGUCUGAACCAGCCAUGCCGCGUGCAGGAAGACGGUCCUCUGGAUUGUAAACUGCUUUUGUUAGGGAAGAAACUUCCGUAUGUGUACGGGACUGACGGUACCUAAAGAAUAAGGAUCGGCUAACUCCGUGCCAGCAGCCGCGGUAAUA
This 190-nucleotide ribosomal RNA is filed under the name uncultured bacterium. RNAcentral's name for it is "partial 16S ribosomal RNA". It matches the Rfam family "Bacterial small subunit ribosomal RNA", at positions 338 to 525 of the family's 1533-position model. The record is from RNAcentral.